RNAcentral lists this ribosomal RNA (539 nucleotides) under Ascochyta medicaginicola. Its description in RNAcentral is "eukaryotic LSU rRNA". The stretch from base 184 to 337 matches the Rfam family "5.8S ribosomal RNA". Lineage: Eukaryota; Fungi; Ascomycota; Dothideomycetes; Pleosporales; Didymellaceae. The record is from RNAcentral.
UCGUAACAAGGUUUCCGUAGGUGAACCUGCGGAAGGAUCAUUACCUAGAGUUUGUGGGCUUUGCCCGCUACCUCUUACCCAUGUCUUUUGAGUACUUACGUUUCCUCGGCGGGUUCGCCCGCCGACUGGACAAAAUUAAACCCUUUGUAAUUGAAAUCAGCGUCUGAAAAACAUAAUAGUUACAACUUUCAACAACGGAUCUCUUGGUUCUGGCAUCGAUGAAGAACGCAGCGAAAUGCGAUAAGUAGUGUGAAUUGCAGAAUUCAGUGAAUCAUCGAAUCUUUGAACGCACAUUGCGCCCCUUGGUAUUCCAUGGGGCAUGCCUGUUCGAGCGUCAUUUGUACCUUCAAGCUAUGCUUGGUGUUGGGUGUUUGUCUCGCCUUUGCGUGUAGACUCGCCUCAAAACAAUUGGCAGCCGGCGUAUUGAUUUCGGAGCGCAGUACAUCUCGCGCUUUGCACUCAUAACGACGACGUCCAAAAGUACUUUUUACACUCUUGACCUCGGAUCAGGUAGGGAUACCCGCUGAACUUAAGCAUAU